GUCUCGAAGCUAAAUACACUCCUCCAUAUCGUGGUCGUGGUCACGAUGAUAGAGGCAGAACUUGUUCAGGUUGUACUUUUCGGGAUGCGAGCGCAUCCUCUCCGGUCUUGGGAGCUGCUUCCUAACCUCCAUCAGCACUUGAGUUUUUGAUGCAUUGAGAGGGACGUAGCUGUGAAAUCUCCCGGGAGGAGAGCCUCGCUGAACUCGACGAUCUGGGCUUCUCUGUUUACGAGCUCGGGGAGGAGUCCGAGCGUGCCUGUGCCCGGGAGGAGUUUGAG
RNAcentral lists this long non-coding RNA (278 nucleotides) under Elaeis guineensis (African oil palm). RNAcentral describes it as "long non-coding RNA (EGUI_LNC010780)". The record is from RNAcentral. Lineage: Eukaryota; Viridiplantae; Streptophyta; Magnoliopsida; Arecales; Arecaceae.